RNAcentral lists this ribosomal RNA (2671 nucleotides) under Brassica oleracea (wild cabbage). Its description in RNAcentral is "bacterial LSU rRNA". It matches the Rfam family "Bacterial large subunit ribosomal RNA". The record is from RNAcentral. Lineage: Eukaryota; Viridiplantae; Streptophyta; Magnoliopsida; Brassicales; Brassicaceae.
ACGAAGGAAGAAGGCUUACGGUGGAUGCCACAGGCACCCAAGACGGAAGGGCGUAACAGCGAAAUGCGCUGAGGGGUUGAAAUAAGCGUAGGUGGAAAUUCCCGGAAUAGGUUGUACUUUGAACUACUGCAGAUCGCGGCGGGCAGAACAACCUGGCGAACUCGACAUCUGGCGUAGAGGAAAGCAAAAGCGGUUGUGGCGGCAGGCGAAAUGAACGCUAAACCGUGAAAGCAGGGUUGUGGAAACAAUAUGACGUCGUGCUGCUAGGCGAAGCGGUGGAGUGCCGCACCUAGAUGGCGAGUCCAGCUGGCCAGCGCAUCACUGGCUUGAAUGCUGGCCCAGGUAGCGUGGGGCGUGGAAUCCGUAGAUCGGACCACCUUGCAAGGCUAAACUCCUCUGGUGACCGAUGGCGAAGUGAUGCCGUGAGGGAAGGUGAAAGACCCCAUCGGGGGUAAAUAGAACGUGAAACCGUAAGCUCCCAAGCGGUGGGAGGCCCUGAACUCUGACCGCGUGCUAUUGAAAGAUAGACGGCGACUCAUGGGCGUGGCGGAUUGGGGAACCCCACCGGGCCGUGGCAAGCGGGUCUUCGCAGGGCAAUUCUCACUGCUUAUGGUUGAACCUGCGUGAUCUAUCUAUGACCAGGAUGAAGCUUGGAUUACGAGCAGGUAGGUCGAACCGACUGAUGUUGAAAAUCAGCGGAUGGUUGUGGUUAGGGGUGAAAUACCAUCGGGCAAGAGCUAGCUGGUUCUCCCAAUGCGUUGAGGCGCAGCAGUUGACUGGACAUCUGGGGUAAAGCACUGUUUCGUUGCGGGCCGCGGUGAUGCAAAUCGGUAAACUCGAAUACCGCAGAUAUGACCUCAAAUAACUGGGGUCAAGGUCAGCCAGUGAAGACGGUGGGGAUAAAGCUUCAUCGUCGAGAGAAACAGCCCGGUCUGGCUAAGGCCCUAAAUGACCGCUCGGUGAUAAAGGAGGUAGGGGUGCAGGAACAGCCAGGGAGGUUUGCCUGAAACAGCCACCACCGAAAGAGUGCGUAAUAGCUCACUAGUCAAUCUUGCGCCGAAAGAUGAGCAGAUAAACGUCUGCGCGAAGCGCUGGGAUGUCAAAUGCAUCGGUAGGGAGCGUUCCGCCUUAGGGAAACAACCGCGAGCGGCCAGUGGACAAGCGGAAGCGAGAUAAUAAACCGAUGCCGCAAACAUUGGUGAGAAAUCCAUGCCAAAAGGCCAGGUUCCUCCGCAAGGUUCGUCCGGAGGGUAGUGGGGUGCAGAUCGAUGAAAGGCGUAGUCGAUGGACAGGUGAAUAUUCCUGCAUACUACCUUGUUGGUCCCGAGGACGGAGGCUAGGUUAGCCGAAGAUGGUUAUCGGUUCCAGAACGCAAGUGUCCUGUUUCCAGAUGAAGGGUGAAAAUGCCCCGAGCCAAUGUUCAAUUACCAGGCGCUACGGCAAAGUAUUAUGCUACUCCAGGAAAGCUCGAACGACCUUCAACAAAAGAAAUUGCCCUGCGAAAUACGACACAGGUGGUGGGUAAGAAUACCCUGAGGGCGCGAGACAACUCUCUCUAGGAACUCGGCAAAACUAAUACGUAACUGGGAAAGUGCCUCCUCUAAAGGGGUCGCAGUGACCAGGAGGUGGGCGAUAUUUGCAAAACAGGUCUCCGCAAAGUCGUAAGACCAUGUAUGAGCUGACGCCUGCCCAGUGUUUUGAUUAAGGAAGUUGGUGACCUGAUGACUGGGGAACGGCGACCAGCCCCGGUGGUGGCAGCCAUGCUUCAUAACGGUCCUAAGGUGAAAUUCCUUGUCGGGUAAGUUCCGACCGCACGAAAGGCAUGGCAAUCUGGGCACUGGCAUCUCAGAGGCUCGGUGAAAUGGUAUGUCUGUGAGAUGCGGACUACCUGCCUGGACGAAGACCUAUGAAACUUCACUGUUCCUGGGAUUGGCUGGGCUUUCCUGCAGCAGGUGGAAGCGAAGGCCUCCUUCGGGGUGAACCAUCGUGAAUACCACUCUGGAGAGCUGCAAUUCUAAUAACGGUAAUGGGACCUACGGGCCGAGGACAGUCUCCAGGUAGGCCAGUUUCUAUGGGGCGUGACCUCCAAAAAUGGCAAGAGUACAAAGAGUUUCCUCGGGCCGAGACGAUUGGCCUCGGUGCAAGGAGCAGAGGGCUGACUGCAAGACCCACCGUGAGCAGGACGAAAGUCGGCCUUAGUGAUCCGACAAUUGCCAGUGGGAAGGGCCGUCGCUCAACGGAUAAAGAUUCUCUAAAGGAUAACAGGCUGAUCUUUACAGGCUCACAUCGACGGGACAGCACCUCGAUGUCAGCUCUUACAUACCUGGGCUGUAAAUGUAUUCAAGGUUGGAACCUUUCUAACCACGGAAGGACAAGGACACCUCCUGGUGUACCGUUAUCGUGCCCACGGUAAACGCUGGGUAGCCAAGUGACGGUGCUGCGAAAGCAUCGUAAUAGCCCACCCCAAGAUGCGGUCUCUCCUAUUCCAGCUUACAGAGCCUCCGGUGCUGGCCGAGACAGCAGCAGGUUCUACGCCCUGCGAAAUGACAGGUGACAAGUUUGAAAUUCAAGAAGGUCACGGCGAGACGAGCGUUUAUCAUUACGAUAGUGUCAAGUGGAGGUGCAGUGAUGUAUGCAGCUGGGCAUCUAACAGGCCGGUAGACGACGUUCC